This 200-nucleotide ribosomal RNA is filed under the name uncultured eukaryote. RNAcentral describes it as "partial 18S ribosomal RNA". It matches the Rfam family "Eukaryotic small subunit ribosomal RNA", at positions 588 to 785 of the family's 1831-position model. The record is from RNAcentral.
GCUCCAAUAGCGUAUACUAAAGUUGUUGCAGUUAAAAAGCUCGUAGUUGGAUUCUAUACUCUCUUCUGGGGUUCCUUUUCUAAAGAAUUGCGCGACCAUUCAAGAGAGAUUAUCCUCGUGCCUAGCCUUUCUCACUUUCAUUAGUCAGGAAGGGGACGCACGUCAUUUACUGUGAGCAAAAUAGAGUGUUCAAAGCAGGC